GAUGAACGCUGGCGGCGUGCCUAAUACAUGCAAGUCGAGCGAACAGACGAGGAGCUUGCUCCUCUGACGUUAGCGGCGGACGGGUGAGUAACACGUGGAUAACCUACCUAUAAGACUGGGAUAACUUCGGGAAACCGGAGCUAAUACCGGAUAAUAUAUUGAACCGCAUGGUUCAAUAGUGAAAGACGGUUUUGCUGUCACUUAUAGAUGGAUCCGCGCCGCAUUAGCUAGUUGGUAAGGUAACGGCUUACCAAGGCAACGAUGCGUAGCCGACCUGAGAGGGUGAUAGGCCACACUGGAACUUAGACACGGUCCAGGCUCCUGCGGGAGGCAGCAGUAGGGAAUCUUCCGCAAUGGGCGAAAGCCUGACGGAGCAACGCCGCGUGAGUGAUGAAGGUCUUCGGAUCGUAAAACUCUGUUAUUAGGGAAGAACAAAUGUGUAAGUAACUAUGCACGUCUUGACGGUACCUAAUCAGAAAGCCACGGCUAACUACGUG
RNAcentral lists this ribosomal RNA (497 nucleotides) under uncultured bacterium. Its description in RNAcentral is "partial 16S ribosomal RNA". It matches the Rfam family "Bacterial small subunit ribosomal RNA", at positions 28 to 507 of the family's 1533-position model. The record is from RNAcentral.